RNAcentral lists this ribosomal RNA (253 nucleotides) under uncultured bacterium. Its description in RNAcentral is "partial 16S ribosomal RNA". It matches the Rfam family "Bacterial small subunit ribosomal RNA", at positions 524 to 776 of the family's 1533-position model. The record is from RNAcentral.
UACGUAGGGGGCAAGCGUUGUCCGGAAUCAUUGGGCGUAAGGCGCGUGUAGGCGGCCAGAAAAGUCCGCUGUGAAAACUCGAGGCUCAACUUCGAGCUGUCGGUGGAAACUUUCUGGCUAGAGUCCGGAAGAGGAGAAUGGAAUUCCUGGUGUAGCGGUGAAAUGCGCAGAUAUCAGGAAGAACACCCGUGGCGAAGGCGGUUCUCUGGGACGGUACUGACGCUGAGGAGCGAAAGCGUGGGGAGCGAACAGG